This 77-nucleotide small RNA is filed under the name Nomascus leucogenys (northern white-cheeked gibbon). Its description in RNAcentral is "Y RNA (ENSNLEG00000020492.2)". Lineage: Eukaryota; Metazoa; Chordata; Mammalia; Primates; Hylobatidae. The record is from RNAcentral.
AGGCAGUGGUGUUUACAACUAAUUGAUCACAACCAGUUAUAGAUUUCUUUGCUCCUUCUCCACUCCCACUGCUUCAU